This 800-nucleotide ribosomal RNA is filed under the name Hadrodemius comans. RNAcentral's name for it is "eukaryotic LSU rRNA". It matches the Rfam family "Eukaryotic large subunit ribosomal RNA", at positions 388 to 887 of the family's 3401-position model. Lineage: Eukaryota; Metazoa; Arthropoda; Insecta; Coleoptera; Curculionidae. The record is from RNAcentral.
UUUCAGAGUACGUGAAACCGUUUAGGGGUAAACCUGAGAAACCCGAAAGGUCGAAGGAAGAAAUUCAUUCGCGUUUCGACGUCGACGUCGGACGGAGUUCGUGUGACGAGACACGUUUUUCGGAACGAGUCUUGCGCCCUUCGUACGUCGAAUCGACGACGAACGCGUGCACUUUUCUUCUGGUAGGACGUCGCGAUCCGUCGGGCGUCGGUCUACGACUUGCGGUGGAGACCGUCCGUGUCGUACUUCGCGGUACGUUCGCGGAUACGGACCCGCUCGUUCCGGCCGACACGCUCGACGGUACACGAAAGGUCGGAGGCCGCUCACUAUUUUGGAAGCGUUCGACUCGUCGCAAGCGCGCCACGUGCGUCGGCACGCGGACCCAGUGCCGCGUCCGACCUCUGGCGACUGUUGGCGAUGAAGUUCUCGGACAGACCUCUCGCGCGCACGCACUCGUGCGUGCGCAAAGACCGAUCGGCGACGCUAUAGCUUUGGGUACUUUCAGGACCCGUCUUGAAACACGGACCAAGGAGUCUAGCAUGUACGCGAGUCAUUGGGAUUUGAACUAAACCUAAAGGCGUAAUGAAAGUGAAGAUCUUCUUCGCGAAGAUCGAGGGAAGACGAACGGUUACGUAAAACCAUCCUAAAAAAAUGGGACCGUUCCGCAUUCCCGGGGCGUCUCGUUCACAUCGCGUGAAGAGGCGCACCAAGAGCGUACACGCUGGGACCCGAAAGAUGGUGAACUAUGCCUGGUCAGGACGAAGUCAGGGGAAACCCUGAUGGAGGUCCGUAGCGAUUCU